UACGAAGGGGGCUAGCGUUGCUCGGAAUCACUGGGCGUAAAGGGUGCGUAGGCGGGUCUUUAAGUCAGGGGUGAAAUCCUGGAGCUCAACUCCAGAACUGCCUUUGAUACUGAAGAUCUUGAGUUCGGGAGAGGUGAGUGGAACUGCGAGUGUAGAGGUGAAAUUCGUAGAUAUUGGGAAGAACACCGGUGGCGAAGGCGGCUCUCUGGACCGGAUCUGACGCUGAGGCGCGAAAGCGUGGGGAGCAAACAGG
RNAcentral lists this ribosomal RNA (253 nucleotides) under uncultured bacterium. RNAcentral describes it as "partial 16S ribosomal RNA". It matches the Rfam family "Bacterial small subunit ribosomal RNA", at positions 524 to 776 of the family's 1533-position model. The record is from RNAcentral.